GAAAUAUUGGCCGGAAAGUACUGUAGCUGCCGGAAAAAUCACUGUAGGUCGCCGGAAAAAAACAAAGUUGUCGGAAUCGAACAAAAAGUGGAUGGGUAGGGUCGGAAUUAUAUUCUGACUAAACUGUCCUUCUGGAGCGAUCGGAAAAAAGUGGCCGGAAAGGCUCUCACGCGCCGGCGCGUGGGCUUCACGCGCCGAGGGUCCUGCCNNNN
This 212-nucleotide long non-coding RNA is filed under the name Nicotiana benthamiana. Its description in RNAcentral is "long non-coding RNA (NBEN_LNC015698)". Lineage: Eukaryota; Viridiplantae; Streptophyta; Magnoliopsida; Solanales; Solanaceae. The record is from RNAcentral.